CACAAGUUUCGUCCCACAAUUGGAGUAAAGAACCAAAGAUGCCCCUCUUCUAUUGCACAUGAAACCUCAUUAUUGAAUGCUGGGGGCAAGUUUUACCGCAUGUUAAUCCUAGCACCAUUAUUUCUCUGGCUUGGAUCACUAGUGGACAAGCUAUGGUGAUAAAUAAGGGAAGCUUGUCGGAUAAAACAGGACAAAAAUCCACGUCCUUAAAUAUGAUAAACUGGAGUAGCUGAGCUCACUUGGUC
RNAcentral lists this long non-coding RNA (245 nucleotides) under Manihot esculenta (cassava). Its description in RNAcentral is "long non-coding RNA (MESC_LNC008391)". Lineage: Eukaryota; Viridiplantae; Streptophyta; Magnoliopsida; Malpighiales; Euphorbiaceae. The record is from RNAcentral.